This 1483-nucleotide long non-coding RNA is filed under the name Marmota monax (woodchuck). Lineage: Eukaryota; Metazoa; Chordata; Mammalia; Rodentia; Sciuridae. The record is from RNAcentral.
GGGGAGGGGAGGGGAGGGGGGAUAGUAGAGGAUAGGAAAGGCAGCAGAAUACAACAGACACUAGUAUGGCAAUAUGUAAAUCAAUGGAUGUGUAACUGAUGUGAUUCUGCAAUCUGUAUAUGGGGUAAAAAUGGGAGCUCAUAACCCACUUGAAUCAAAUUGUGAAAUAGGAUAUAUCAAGAACUAUGUAAUGUUUUGAACAGCCAACAAUAAAAAAUUAAAAAAAAUAAAUAAAUAAAUAAAAAAUAAAAAUUAAAAAAAAAAAAAAGAUGCUAGAAGAUUUGUUCUGGUGAGGACCCCUUUGUGGUUUGCAGACAGGUCUUUUUUGCUGUAUCUUUACAUGGUAGAGACAGAGCAGAAGAAAUUUCUCUCCCUGAUGAGUGUUUUAAUAAGGGUACUAAUACCAUUAAGGGAGUUCUACACUUAUGACCUCAUCUAACACCUAAUGACCUCCCAAAGCUCCCACUUGGAAUAACCAUUACUUGGGGACUAGGGCUUCAACACAUGAAUUUGGAAGACACACACAUUUAGUUCUUAGCCUUCUUAUCUGGAAGAGUUGUAUCUCUCCAACUUGUUAUAUUGAUUGGAUAAAUAUUUAUUAAAUUCCUGACACUGAAGAUAAAUAUGUGGGUAUUUCUUCUUUGGAUCAUAUGAAAUGGAUAUUUUGGUGAUCUACAAAAGAAUUAGACACUUCAAAUUUCCCAACACAAGUUUGCUCAUAGCAGAUAGUAUAUAUUAAAGAGUUUCAAAGGUGUAAGGAAAUGAUGCAUCUAUCGUUUCAUAGAUUCAUUGUAAAAAGAUAAUUCAAAUAGUAAAUUAAAAGAAUAUCCUUAAUGACCCACAUCCAUCCCAAUAGACAACCUGUGUGAUUCCAUAUAUAGAAAACUAUAGGACAUAAAAUUGAUCUCUUGACAAAAAAUCAGUGGUUGCCUGGAGACAGGCAUAAUGAGGGAAGGGUGGCUGGCAGACACAGAACUGAGAAUAUGACAUCCUGGCAAUGUAAUCCUAAUAAUAUUUAAGAGUAUCUGGUUAAUAUAAAGGAACUUGUGGACUAUCACUAUAGAAAACAAACACAUAUGUCAUUAAUAUUUUAACAUUUUAAAAUCUUAUAACUAACUUAUUGAUAUAACACUUGGAUUAUAAGUGGUUUACUUAUAAUUUAUAUUUACAAAUUUAUAUUAAAUUUAUAAAUUUAAAUUUACUCUAGAAUGGAUAAAACCCUAGUUACCAGGAAAGAAUCCAUGUUACAAUCACAGAUUGCUAAGGAAGAGACUAAGCAACUGCCUUGUCAACACCCAUUUAAGAGAUGCCUAUGUAUCAGCUAAUAAAAGUAUAACCUUUUUACCCUAUUUAUUGAAGAAGUUAAUAAUGUGCAACAUAAAACUUUCCAGUUAUAGGGUAUUGUUUUUCAGAAUAGAUUUUGAACUGGAAUUCACAAAAAAAUGCUCAUUAUACUCUAUAGAGAGAAAUAUAUAUAUAUGAC